AACGAACGCUGGCGGCAUGCCUAACACAUGCCAGUCGAACGAGACCUUCGGGUCUAGUGGCGCACGGGUGCGUAACGCGUGGGAACCUGCCCUUAGGUUCGGAAUAACUCCCCGAAAGGGGUGCUAAUACCGGAUAAUGUCUUCGGACCAAAGAUUUAUCGCCUUUGGAUGGGCCCGCGUUGGAUUAGCUGUUGGUAGGGUAAAAGCCUACCAAGGCGACGAUCCAUAGCUGGUCUGAGAGGAUGAUCAGCCACACUGGGACUGAGACACGGCCCAGACUCCUACGGGAGGCAGCAGUGGGGAAUAUUGGACAAUGGGCGAAAGCCUGAUCCAGCAAUGCCGCGUGAGUGAUGAAGGCCUUAGGGUUGUAAAGCUCUUUUACCCGGGAUGAUAAUGACAGUACCGGGAGAAUAAGCUCCGGCUAACUCCGUG
This 432-nucleotide ribosomal RNA is filed under the name uncultured bacterium. RNAcentral's name for it is "partial 16S ribosomal RNA". It matches the Rfam family "Bacterial small subunit ribosomal RNA", at positions 29 to 507 of the family's 1533-position model. The record is from RNAcentral.